GGGCUCGUAGCUCAGCUGGGAGAGCACCACAAUGGCAUUGUGGGGGUCGUCGGUUCGAUCCCGAUCGAGUCCACCA
RNAcentral lists this transfer RNA (76 nucleotides) under Pseudomonadota bacterium. RNAcentral's name for it is "Proteobacteria bacterium (wastewater metagenome) tRNA-Ala". It matches the Rfam family "tRNA". From Rfam's summary of the family: Transfer RNA (tRNA) molecules are approximately 80 nucleotides in length. Lineage: Bacteria; Pseudomonadati; Pseudomonadota. The record is from RNAcentral.